CUUGUAUUACAUACGUACGUGGUGCUCAGCAAAACUAAAACUUUUCUUACACAAUAAACCUCAAUCUCCUUCGGAACCACCGUCGUUUGUAAGUAGAUGAAGAAAUUUCACUUCAGCCACCAACGUCGCCACCGCCGAACGUAACCAACCUAACCUGACCGUACCUCGCGUUACGUAAUUUAGGUAAGGCAACACGGCGAUAUCGAAAUGUGUUCACCAACCGUCCAGGCACGAUAUCCGACGAACGGAAUCUGAGUUCGAAAUACUCUUUUUUUCCAGCAAUGAACUGGAAGUGAUUGAUACGCUAUUGGAAGAUACACGGUAUCCCAUAGGUAUAGGUAUAGAUAUACUAUAUGGAUUUGUCUUAUGGUAGCUAUUGGUAACCAUUCUACAUAUAUGAAGGUGAUCGAAUUGAGAUCAAGGAACGAAACAAAUCGCGUUGGUAGCUCUGCUGUUGAUAUCUGUCAACGAAAUUGACGUUGAAAAAGUAUCUUUUUUCUGGCUUUUGAGAAAGAAAGAGGGAAUGCAAAGUAGGAUGGAUUUCGAUUGAUAAGGUUCAAAAAAAAUACUGUGUGAAUGAGGGGUGUCUUUAAAGAUUUAUCUUAAAGGAUUCCAUCGAAGGGUCUGUAUAUACAUAUAUAUAUAUACGUAUAUAUAAGUUGAAAAUAUUCCUGCUCUCUUUUAGUAUGGAAGUUUGAAUUACGACCCAGGACUGGUUGUGACGUUCGAGGAAUAAAGAACUGCGCAAUUCCUUUUUAUUGACAAAUUUUUUUUUUUUUUUUUUUCGUUUUACGUUUAUACCUAUACGGAAUACUUUAUUACACGUAAAACACAUAUUUUCAGCCACUGUUCCAAGCCAUUAUAUUAUAACCGACCUAUGUCGGUGUUAAAUGCCCUCGUUAAUUCUGACUCUUCUGUAUUUCGAAGCACGUAUGUACAUACAUGGUAUAUCUCUGGACGUAUAUUUCUGUCUGGCUAUCUGUUUGCUUUAGGUUUUCGCGUUGAUAGGAAACCUCGCUGGUAGAUGUCGAUGUCAAUAUUUCAAGAAACCUUCCAGCACAUAAACUUCAGUGAGAUGACCUAUGCGAGAUUGGGACAGACAUCUUGGUAUCUCGGGAGCUGUACCAAUUCGAUCUGUAUCGACGAAGGAGAAGCAACGAAGGAAGAGAGAGGGAUGUCGCGAACUAAGGAUAGGUUAUACUUGAGGGUUACUCUCUUGUGCUUUGGAUAUUCCCUGCAGUGAAUUGUUCGAGUAAGGGUGUAUUGCGUACGGAGCAAAAAAAAAGUGAAUCGCAUUUGCGAGUUUCAUGAAUUCAUUUUAUUAGUCUUUUUUUAAUCUUUUUUUGCAUAUUCUUGUGACAGGUAGUGACGUAUCCGGUCAUAUAGGGUUCUAGUUGUUUGUGACUCAUGGUGAAGUACGAUUACGAUUCUGGAUUUAAGUCCAGUCGAAGUUCACUUGAACUUCCGGUUCGCCAGAGGUUUGAUUAUCGGCCGCCUGCAAGCGCCAUAACUCUUUCGCGAAAUGUCAGGAAUGGUAUAGACCAACUGAGGCCGACGACCUCAUGGGAACUUAUAAGUAGGUUCAAGGGUCAUUAGGUCACUGUUCAGGCCCUUAAGGUAUUUUAAAAGAGCGAGAAAAAGCGCUUUCUCAAAAUUCUUCGUUCAAUUUAAUUUGAAUAUAUCCUCAUGAUUUACUCGAGAAAUCUAAUGAAAUAGUCGGGCUUGGGCUUUCCGCUAAAUCCAAUAUGCCGUGCAGCUAUUAAGCUCAAAUGAAUUUUGAAUUUACUUUCACGAGGUCUGUUGCUUUUAAAUGGUUUAAGCGUAUCGGGAUAAUGUGUAAAGCGAUUUUUACUUUACGAAAUGAA
This is a long non-coding RNA of Cephus cinctus (wheat stem sawfly), 1865 nucleotides long. RefSeq lists it as uncharacterized. NCBI's taxonomy places the organism in Eukaryota, Metazoa, Arthropoda, Insecta, Hymenoptera, Cephidae. The transcript is spliced from 3 exons. The record is from RefSeq and is a predicted model, not a curated record.